UUGGGAGCUAAAAUAUGACAUGCGAACUAGGGUACUACGAGCCUUAAAAGCUUAAAACCCAAAAAGCUUGGCGGUGCUACAGACUAAAUGGGGGAACCUGCUCCUUAAUCGAUAGUCCGCGAUAGACCUGACCUCUUUUUGCUAUCUCAGCUCAUAUACCGUCGUCGAUCAGUUUGUCCUUGAGGGAUAGAAAGCAGGCUGGAGAAAGGUUAGUUUUUGACGUCAGAUCAAGGUGUGGCAAAUAGGGAGGGGAGGGUGGGUUACAAUUAUUAUAUUAAUUAUAAAAACGGAGAAUUCCUUGAAAUAUGAAUGGUUGAAGGCGGACUCAUAAGUAAGAUAGCUAAUAUAGGGAAUCUGAACACAGCUAUGAAGCGUGCACAUAUCGCCCGUCGCUCUCGUUGAAAAAUGAGAUAAGUCGUAACAUAGUAGGGGUAACGGAAGUUGUCCCUGGACGAA
Molecule: ribosomal RNA, 456 nt
Filed under: Dendropoma sp. Chile
Lineage: Eukaryota; Metazoa; Mollusca; Gastropoda; Littorinimorpha; Vermetidae
Description: partial small subunit ribosomal RNA
Rfam family: Bacterial small subunit ribosomal RNA
Source: RNAcentral